CCUACGAUAGCAUAACUGGAAAUGCCACGGAUACCAUGCCGGGGAAAGUGGGGUUCAACUCCCCACCGUAGGA
RNAcentral lists this transfer RNA (73 nucleotides) under Bacteriophage sp. RNAcentral describes it as "tRNA-OTHER". The record is from RNAcentral.